ACAGAAAACCCUCCCCUCCCUGCUGUGCAUGACGCGGCCUCCCUCUGCACACAGUGCACGAAGACGCUGUCAGGAGAGCCCAGGAUUCAACACGGGCCUUGAGAAAUGUGGCUCUUGUACCUCUUGGUGCCGGCCAUGUUCUGCAGGGCAGGAGGCUCCAUUCCCAUCCCUCAGAAGUUAUUUGGGGAGGUGACUUCCCCUCUGUUCCCCAAGCCUUACCCCAACAACUUUGAAACAACCACUGUGAUCACAGUCCCCACGGGAUACAGGGUGAAGCUCGUCUUCCAGCAGUUUGACCUGGAGCCUUCUGAAGGCUGCUUCUAUGAUUAUGUCAAGGUAGGGGCAGGAUGGCCGGGCGGAGGGGAGACAAAACUGGGCCCUCUGGGAUCUGGGAUCUGUAUGGCAUGCACACCCCCAGACACAGCCCAGCCCCACAAGAGCUGAUGGCCAACGGCCUCUCUGAGAGCCCGGGGAUGCCCUGGAUGGUUGCUCACUGGUGUAGAGGCCCUCGGUGAGCACUGAGGGGAGAAGCACAGAGAAGGAAAGGGACAGAACCCAUUCAGGAAAUUCACCAUCCACUGAGUCAGGAAAACCUUCGCCAUCAGCUGUCUAGCUGAGAGUCUUUGGGAAAC
RNAcentral lists this small RNA (632 nucleotides) under Pongo abelii (Sumatran orangutan). Its description in RNAcentral is "retained intron". The record is from RNAcentral. Lineage: Eukaryota; Metazoa; Chordata; Mammalia; Primates; Hominidae.